UUGGGGUGCAGCUACCAUGCAGUCGAACGGAGUAAUAAUUUGCUUGCAAAUUAUUGCUUAGUGGCGGACGGGUGAGUAACGCGUAGGAAUCUGCCUUAUGGUGGGGGACAACAGUUGGAAACGGCUGCUAAUACCGCAUAUUAUUUUCGAAUAAAAGGUGGCACUUAGGUGCUGUCGCCAUGAGAUGAGCCUGCGUUGGAUUAGCUAGUUGGUGGGGUAAUUGCUUACCAAGGCUGUGAUCCAUAGCUGUUCUGAGAGGAAGAUCAGCCACACUGGGACUGAGACACGGCCCAGACUCCUACGGGAGGCAGCAGUGGGGAAUAUUGGACAAUGGGGGCAACCCUGAUCCAGCAAUACCAUGUGUGUGAAGAAGGCCUUAGGGUUGUAAAGCACUUUAGUUCGUGAGGAAGGCUAUUAGGUUAAGAGCUAGAUAGUUUGACGUUAGCGAAAGAAUAAGCACCGGCUAACUCCGUGCCAGCAGCCGCGGUAAUACGGAGGGUGCGAGCGUUAAUCGGAAUUACUGGGCGUAAAGGGUUCGUAGGUGGUUAGAUAAGUCAGAUGUGAAAGCCCUGGGCUCAACCUGGGAGUUGCAUAUGAAACUGUUUGACUAGAGUUUGGUAGAGGAUUGGGGAAUUUCCAGUGUAGCGGUGAAAUGCGUAGAGAUUGGAAAGAACAUCGAUGGCGAAGGCAACAAUCUGGACCUGAACUGACACUGAGGGACGAAAGCGUGGGUAGCAAACAGGAUUAGAUACCCUGGUAGUCCACGCUGUAAACGAUGAGUACUAGCUGUUGGGCCUGGUGUAAAAGGUUUAGUGGCGCAGCUAACGCGUUAAGUACUCCGCCUGGGGACUACGGCCGCAAGGUUAAAACUCAAAGGAAUUGACGGGGACCCGCACAAGCGGUGGAGCAUGUGGUUUAAUUCGAUGCAACGCGAAGAACCUUACCUACCCUUGACAUCCUAGGAAGGCGAAAGAGAUUUUGUUGUGCCUUCGGGAACUUAGAGACAGGUGCUGCAUGGCUGUCGUCAGCUCGUGUUGUGAGAUGUUGGGUUAAGUCCCGCAACGAGCGCAACCCUUAUGUUUAGUUGCCAUCAUUAAGUUGGGCACUCUAAAGAGACUGCCGCUGAUAAGGCGGAGGAAGGUGGGGACGACGUCAAGUCAUCAUGGCCCUUACGGGUAGGGCUACACACGUGCUACAAUGGGCAUUACAGAGGGCAGCUAAGGGGCGACCUGGAGCGAAACCCAGAAAGGUGUUCGUAGUCCGGAUUGAUCUCUGCAACUCGAGAUCAUGAAGUCGGAAUCGCUAGUAAUCGCGAAUCAGAAUGUCGCGGUGAAUACGUUCCCGGGUCUUGUACACACCGCCCGUCACACCAUGGGAGUGGGUUGCAAAAGAAGUAGAUAGUCUAACCGUUGGGGGACGUACCACUUGCGAUAC
Molecule: ribosomal RNA, 1434 nt
Filed under: uncultured bacterium
Lineage: Bacteria
Description: bacterial SSU rRNA
Rfam family: Bacterial small subunit ribosomal RNA
Source: RNAcentral